Molecule: ribosomal RNA, 397 nt
Filed under: uncultured bacterium
Lineage: Bacteria
Description: partial 16S ribosomal RNA
Rfam family: Bacterial small subunit ribosomal RNA
Source: RNAcentral
AUACGUAGGGGGCGAGCGUUGUCCGGAAUGAUUGGGCGUAAAGGGCGCGUAGGCGGCCUGUUAAGUCUGGAGUGAAAGUCCUGUUUUCAAGAUGGGAAUUGCUUUGGAUACUGAUGGGCUUGAGUGCAGGAGAGGUUAUCGGAAUUCCCAGUGUAGCGGUGAAAUGCGUAGAGAUUGGGAGGAACACCAGUGGCGAAGGCGACUUACUGGACUGUAACUGACGCUGAGGCGCGAAAGUGUGGGGAGCAAACAGGAUUAGAUACCCUGGUAGUCCACACUGUAAACGAUGAAUGCUAGGUGUAGGGGGUAUCGACCCCUUCUGUGCCGCAGUCAACACAAUAAGCAUUCCGCCUGGGGAGUACGGCCGCAAGGUUGAAACUCAAAUGAAUCGACGGGG